GAGGAGGGUGGUGUGACUACUGCAGGGGCUUCAGCUUUUGCACCCCGAAGCGACGUCAGUUCUAGCUUCAGAGCUGGAUCCAUCUAGAAACUACACUGAUAGGUUUAGAUGGAGCGCCAACUUCGUCAACGACUGUGGGGAUGGUUGAGAUAGCACUGAUGGAAAUGGAGGGGAAGAUCGACGUGACGAUGGAGAGGAAGGAGACGGCAGAGACAGCUUCUUUUGUCUUCUCGUGAGAAGGACGAAGAAAGAAAAAUAGUACAAGUAGAGUAGAUAUGUGGUGGAUGGUAAAAAAUAUAUAUAAAAACUAAAAAUUAAAACUUGAUAUGCGGUGUUGUGGAAGAUUAUCUUAUAAUCUUAGAUGUCAAUAUAGAAUACCACUCUUAAUAUCUAUAUAUUAUUCUUAUUAUAUAAAUUUUAUGGUACUUCAAAAAUAUGGUUAUAAAAUGGCAAACGGUAUUUUUCUUGUUAAGAAUUUUAUCAGAAAAGCUUUACUUUCGGAAAUUCUAUGGACAAAAACUUAUUUUAGGUUGCCACCAUGAUUUCAUCUAUUUGCAGAGGCUCUGAAGUAAAAAUUAUUUAUACCAUACAGUUAACAGUAAUUAAUCAUGGCUUAGAAAUUUUCACUGGUAUC
RNAcentral lists this long non-coding RNA (634 nucleotides) under Elaeis guineensis (African oil palm). RNAcentral describes it as "long non-coding RNA (EGUI_LNC025566)". Lineage: Eukaryota; Viridiplantae; Streptophyta; Magnoliopsida; Arecales; Arecaceae. The record is from RNAcentral.